RNAcentral lists this ribosomal RNA (489 nucleotides) under uncultured bacterium. RNAcentral describes it as "bacterial SSU rRNA". It matches the Rfam family "Bacterial small subunit ribosomal RNA", at positions 1 to 530 of the family's 1533-position model. The record is from RNAcentral.
GCUAUUUAGGUUAGAGUUUGAUCCUGGCUCAGAACGAACGCUGGCGGCAUGCCUAACACAUGCAAGUCGAACGAGACCUUCGGGUCUAGUGGCGCACGGGUGCGUAACGCGUGGGAACCUGCCUUUAGGUUCGGGAUAACAGUUAGAAAUGACUGCUAAUACCGGAUGAUGUCUUCGGACCAAAGAUUUAUCGCCUUUAGAUGGGCCCGCGUUGGAUUAGCUAGUUGGUGGGGUAAAGGCCUACCAAGGCGACGAUCCAUAGCUGGUCUGAGAGGAUGAUCAGCCACACUGGGACUGAGACACGGCCCAGACUCCUACGGGAGGCAGCAGUGGGGAAUAUUGGACAAUGGGCGAAAGCCUGAUCCAGCAAUGCCGCGUGAGUGAUGAAGGCCUUAGGGUUGUAAAGCUCUUUUACCCGGGAUGAUAAUGACAGUACCGGGAGAAUAAGCUCCGGCUAACUCCGUGCCAGCAGCCGCGGUAAUGUCGGCC